Molecule: regulatory RNA element, 54 nt
Organism: Astyanax mexicanus (Mexican tetra)
Lineage: Eukaryota; Metazoa; Chordata; Actinopteri; Characiformes; Acestrorhamphidae
Rfam family: UnaL2 LINE 3' element
About the family: The eel long interspersed element (LINE) UnaL2 and its partner short interspersed element (SINE) share a conserved 3' tail containing a stem-loop that is critical for their retrotransposition. Presumably, the first step of retrotransposition is the recognition of their 3' tails by UnaL2-encoded reverse transcriptase.
Source: Rfam
GUACAUCUUUAUUGUAAGUCGCUUUGGAUAAAAGCGUCUGCCAAAUGUUAAUGU